UCCGGCUUAACACCGGCAGUCUCCUUAGAGUGCCCAACUUAAUGGUGGCAACUAGGGAUAAGGGUUGCGCUCGUUAAGGGACUUAACCCGACAUCUCACGAUACGAGCUGACGACAGCCAUGCAGCACCUGUCUCUCGGCCCCCGAAGGGGAAGCCCUAUCUCUAGGGUUGUCCGAGGAUGUCAAAUCCAGGUAAGGUUUUUCGCGUUGCAUCGAAUUGAACCACAUGCUCCACCGCUUGUGCGGGCCCCCGUCAAUUCCUUUGAGUUUUAAUCUUGCGACCGUACUUCCCAGGCGGGGUACUUAAUGCGUUAGCGUCGACACUGCAGGGGUCAAUUCCCGCAACAUCUAGUACCCAUCGUUUACGGCGUGGACUAC
Molecule: unclassified non-coding RNA, 377 nt
Filed under: uncultured Oligoflexales bacterium
Lineage: Bacteria; Pseudomonadati; Bdellovibrionota; Oligoflexia; Oligoflexales
Description: contains 16S-23S intergenic spacer region
Source: RNAcentral